This 958-nucleotide unclassified non-coding RNA is filed under the name Hevea brasiliensis (rubber tree). Lineage: Eukaryota; Viridiplantae; Streptophyta; Magnoliopsida; Malpighiales; Euphorbiaceae. The record is from RNAcentral.
GGCAAGUUGAUAAAUCCAAGAACAAAGGGCAGUAUAUAAUUAUCCAUACAAAUCUCAGGACGGAGACAGCAGAAUACAGGGCAUUGAAGAAGCUUGCAAAUAUGAAUAGAUACUUGGUGCUGAUUGUCCUCCUCCUGGCUGUGAUCAUUCAUAUCUCUGUCAUAGAUGGUCUGAAAAGUGAAAAACUUUGCAGCCAGUGCUCUAAAUGUGACACAAAUCAGUGCCCUGCAAGUGAUGCCUAUCCACAUAUGACUGCAUUUGAUGAUACCCUCAUUGCUGGUGCUUUGCAGUCUGAUUAUGUUGAUGCAAAUGAUAGAGGUGUUUACUCGGUGCCAAAUAUCAAGGGUGGCACAUCAGCAGAAUAUAAUGCUUACUUUGGCUGGGAAUCUACUUCUGGUUCAGCUUCUGGCUACCAUAGGUAAUUAUUGCAGCCGUAGACGAGCAUGGAAAGGUAAGGCUUCGGUCACUGAAGUCACUGAAAAGCUUAGCAGAGGCUGACUGGAAAUCCAUCAAUCCACCAAAGAAGUUAAACCACAGAGGAUUCCGGUUCUGGGUAUCUCAUAGCACAGGAAAAUGCUUGACAGUUCUGGGAGGGAAGAAGGAUAAGAAAACUGUGGGAGUAGCUGAGUGCAAGUUUGAUGGCUCCAAUACUUUCCAGCUCUUCGCCUUCCGCUUCCAUUAUCACAAAGCUUUCUGCUGUUGCGGAGUUUACAAUGAGUGAUUUCUGGAAGACUGGAACAGCCUGCAAAAUAGCAUUUUUAGAACAUAUGCAUAUAAUAUCACAAGAAUUAUAUGCAUCUAUGUGAAUUAUAUCUUUCAUUUCUGAUUAUCUGAUCGGUUUCAUGAUUGUGAAGCUCUUUUCCAUUCGAUGUGUGGGAAUAAAAUGAGCCCCUAGAGAUAGUUUCAGGUCAAAACUCACUACUGGACGUUGCCCUCCUUGUCUGCCAGGACCAAUUGU